RNAcentral lists this ribosomal RNA (459 nucleotides) under uncultured bacterium. RNAcentral describes it as "SSU rRNA". It matches the Rfam family "Bacterial small subunit ribosomal RNA", at positions 26 to 518 of the family's 1533-position model. The record is from RNAcentral.
AGAAUCAACGCUGGCGGCGUGCCUAACACAUGCAAGUCGAACGAGAAAGUGGUAGCAAUACCAUGAGUAAAGUGGCGCACGGGUGAGUAACACGUGACUAACCUACCCUGGAGUGGGGGAUAACUGAGGGAAACCUUAGCUAAUACCGCAUAAUACCCACGGGUCAAAGGAGCAAUUCGCUUUGGGAGGGGUCGCGGCCGAUUAGUUAGUUGGCGGGGUAACGGCCCACCAAGACUGUGAUCGGUAUCCGGCCUGAGAGGGCGCACGGACACACUGGAACUGAAACACGGUCCAGACUCCUACGGGAGGCAGCAGUGGGGAAUUUGCGCAAUGGGGGAAACCCUGACGCAGCAACGCCGCGUGGAGGAUGAAGUCCCUCGGGACGUAAACUCCUUUCGAUCGGGACGAUUAUGACGGUACCGGAAGAAGAAGCCCCGGCUAACUCGCGCCAGCAGCCGC